GAUGAACGCUGGCGGCGUGCUUAACACAUGCAAGUCGAACGAAGCACUUUACCUGAUUUCCUUCGGGGAUGAUUGUUCUGUGACUGAGUGGCGGACGGGUGAGUAACGCGUGGAUAACCUGCCUCACACAGGGGGAUAACAGUCGGAAACGACUGCUAAUACCGCAUAAGCGCACAGCACCGCAUGGUGCAGUGUGAAAAACUCCGGUGGUGUGAGAUGGAUCCGCGUCUGAUUAGCUUGUUGGCGGGGUAACGGCCCACCAAGGCGACGAUCAGUAGCCGGCCUGAGAGGGCGACCGGCCACAUUGGGACUGAGACACGGCCCAGACUCCUACGGGAGGCAGCAGUGGGGAAUAUUGCACAAUGGGGGAAACCCUGAUGCAGCGACGCCGCGUGAGCGAUGAAGUAUUUCGGUAUGUAAAGCUCUAUCAGCAGGGAAGAUAAUGACGGUAC
RNAcentral lists this ribosomal RNA (452 nucleotides) under uncultured bacterium. RNAcentral's name for it is "bacterial SSU rRNA". It matches the Rfam family "Bacterial small subunit ribosomal RNA", at positions 28 to 478 of the family's 1533-position model. The record is from RNAcentral.